This 329-nucleotide ribosomal RNA is filed under the name uncultured eukaryote. RNAcentral describes it as "partial 18S ribosomal RNA". It matches the Rfam family "Eukaryotic small subunit ribosomal RNA", at positions 1470 to 1796 of the family's 1831-position model. The record is from RNAcentral.
CCCCUAGAUGUCCUGGGCCGCACGCGCGCUACACUGAGUGUCUGAGAUACGAGUCUGCCUGGUCCGGCAAGGUCUAGGUAAUCGCUAAAAGACACAUCAUGCUUGGGAUAGAUUAUUGCAAAUAUUAAUCUUGAACGAGGAAUUCCUAGUAAGCGCAAGUCAACAGCUUGCGUUGAUUACGUCCCUGCCCUUUGUACACACCGCCCGUCGCUACUACUGAUUGGAUGUUUAAGCGAGGUUCUCGAACUGCUAGCGACUUAGCUUCGGUGAGGUCGCAGUGUGGGAAGUGAACCUAGCUUUGGUGUCUAGAGGAAGUAAAAGUCGUAACA